Didymella sp. IMI 355093 is the source of this 98-nucleotide non-coding RNA. Lineage: Eukaryota; Fungi; Ascomycota; Dothideomycetes; Pleosporales; Didymellaceae. The record is from the annotation of a GenBank genome assembly.
GGCCUAAUGGCCCAAUGGCAAGGCGCUUGACUACGAUAUCAGCAUUCAAACUGGAAAUCGGCAUCAAGAGAUUCCAGGUUCGACCCCUGGUUAGGUCA